RNAcentral lists this ribosomal RNA (581 nucleotides) under Citrobacter sp. BS29. RNAcentral's name for it is "bacterial SSU rRNA". It matches the Rfam family "Bacterial small subunit ribosomal RNA", at positions 907 to 1488 of the family's 1533-position model. Lineage: Bacteria; Pseudomonadati; Pseudomonadota; Gammaproteobacteria; Enterobacterales; Enterobacteriaceae. The record is from RNAcentral.
GAAUUGACGGGGGCCCGCACAAGCGGUGGAGCAUGUGGUUUAAUUCGAUGCAACGCGAAGAACCUUACCUACUCUUGACAUCCAGAGAACUUAGCAGAGAUGCUUUGGUGCCUUCGGGAACUCUGAGACAGGUGCUGCAUGGCUGUCGUCAGCUCGUGUUGUGAAAUGUUGGGUUAAGUCCCGCAACGAGCGCAACCCUUAUCCUUUGUUGCCAGCGGUUCGGCCGGGAACUCAAAGGAGACUGCCAGUGAUAAACUGGAGGAAGGUGGGGAUGACGUCAAGUCAUCAUGGCCCUUACGAGUAGGGCUACACACGUGCUACAAUGGCAUAUACAAAGAGAAGCGACCUCGCGAGAGCAAGCGGACCUCAUAAAGUAUGUCGUAGUCCGGAUUGGAGUCUGCAACUCGACUCCAUGAAGUCGGAAUCGCUAGUAAUCGUGGAUCAGAAUGCCACGGUGAAUACGUUCCCGGGCCUUGUACACACCGCCCGUCACACCAUGGGAGUGGGUUGCAAAAGAAGUAGGUAGCUUAACCUUCGGGAGGGCGCUUACCACUUUGUGAUUCAUGACUGGGGUGAAGUCG